This 466-nucleotide ribosomal RNA is filed under the name uncultured bacterium. Its description in RNAcentral is "partial 16S ribosomal RNA". It matches the Rfam family "Bacterial small subunit ribosomal RNA", at positions 30 to 507 of the family's 1533-position model. The record is from RNAcentral.
CGAACGCUGGCGGCGUGCUUAACACAUGCAAGUCGAACGGAAAGGCCCUGCUUUUGUGGGGUGCUCGAGUGGCGAACGGGUGAGUAACACGUGAGUAACCUGCCCUUGACUUUGGGAUAACUUCAGGAAACUGGGGCUAAUACCGGAUAGGAGCUCCUGCUGCAUGGUGGGGGUUGGAAAGUUUCGGCGGUUGGGGAUGGACUCGCGGCUUAUCAGCCUGUUGGUGGGGUAGUGGCUUACCAAGGCUUUGACGGGUAGCCGGCCUGAGAGGGUGACCGGCCACAUUGGGACUGAGAUACGGCCCAGACUCCUACGGGAGGCAGCAGUGGGGAAUAUUGCACAAUGGGCGGAAGCCUGAUGCAGCAACGCCGCGUGCGGGAUGACGGCCUUCGGGCUGUAAACCGCUUUCGCCUGUGACGAAGCGUGAGUGACGGUAAUGGGUAAAGAAGCACCGGCUAACUACGUG